UGAAUCGCUAAUGUACCCCGGACUCUGGGAUAGCUGGCCGAAAGGCCAGGUAAUACCAGAUGACAUCACUUCCCUGCAUGGGGAGGUGCUCAAAGGUCCGCCGGUCUGGGAGCAGGCGAUUUCGUAUCAGCUAGUUGGUGAGGUAACGGCUCACCAAGGCGACGACGCGUAGCCGGACUGAGAGGUUGGCCGGCCACAUUGGGACUGAGACACUGCCCAG
Molecule: ribosomal RNA, 220 nt
Filed under: uncultured bacterium
Lineage: Bacteria
Description: partial 16S ribosomal RNA
Rfam family: Bacterial small subunit ribosomal RNA
Source: RNAcentral